Molecule: ribosomal RNA, 453 nt
Filed under: uncultured organism
Description: partial 16S ribosomal RNA
Rfam family: Bacterial small subunit ribosomal RNA
Source: RNAcentral
ACGUACACUCCUGCGGGAGGCAGCAGUGGGGAAUAUUGGACAAUGGGCGCAAGCCUGAUCCAGCCAUGCCGCGUGAGUGAUGAAGGCCCUAGGGUUGUAAAGCUCUUUUGUGCGGGAAGAUAAUGACGGUACCGCAAGAAUAAGCCCCGGCUAACUUCGUGCCAGCAGCCGCGGUAAUACGAAGGGGGCUAGCGUUGCUCGAAAUCACUGGGCGUAAAGGGUGCGUAGGCGGGUCUUUAAGUCAGGGGUGAAAUCCUGGAGCUCAACUCCAGAACUGCCUUUGAUACUGAAGAUCUUGAGUUCGGGAGAGGUGAGUGGAACUGCGAGUGUAGAGGUGAAAUUCGUAGAUAUUCGCAAGAACACCAGUGGCGAAGGCGGCUCACUGGCCCGAUACUGACGCUGAGGCACGAAAGCGUGGGGAGCAAACAGGAUUAGAAACCCGUGUAGUCCCAU